This 389-nucleotide ribosomal RNA is filed under the name uncultured bacterium. RNAcentral describes it as "bacterial SSU rRNA". It matches the Rfam family "Bacterial small subunit ribosomal RNA", at positions 29 to 448 of the family's 1533-position model. The record is from RNAcentral.
AACGAACGCUGGCGGCAUGCCUAACACAUGCAAGUCGAACGAGACCUUCGGGUCUAGUGGCGCACGGGUGCGUAACGCGUGGGAAUCUGCCCUUUGCUUCGGAAUAACAGUUAGAAAUGACUGCUAAUACCGGAUGAUGUCUUCGGACCAAAGAUUUAUCGGCAAAGGAUGAGCCCGCGUAGGAUUAGGUAGUUGGUGGGUAAAGGCCUACCAAGCCGACGAUCCUUAGCUGGUCUGAGAGGAUGAUCAGCCACACUGGGACUGAGACACGGCCCAGACUCCUACGGGAGGCAGCAGUGGGAAUAUUGGACAAUGGGCGCAAGCCUGAUCCAGCAAUGCUGCGUGAGUGAUGAAGGCCUUCGGUCGUAAAGCUCUUUACCUAGGGAGUG